This is a long non-coding RNA of Varroa destructor (honeybee mite), 561 nucleotides long. RefSeq lists it as uncharacterized. NCBI's taxonomy places the organism in Eukaryota, Metazoa, Arthropoda, Arachnida, Mesostigmata, Varroidae. The record is from RefSeq and is a predicted model, not a curated record.
CUCGUGGCUUUUCCUCAAGUUGAGCAUGAUGCUUGCCGCCAUAUUGAUCCAUAGUUGUUUGUUGAUACUAGCUACCUGCCAAGCACAGAUAGCUCCGAUCGUUCUGACCGAAGGAACCCAACCACAGCGGAACGUUGCUCCCUUUCAACCAAUGUCAUUAGAUCCAUUCACUACUCUAAUGAUGGCUCCUGCAAACAUGGCGCAAGCCCUCGCGCGCUUACUGCAGGGAGGCGUCACUGGACGCUAAUGCAUUCAUUUGCUAUCAUUCAUCACCACGACCAGGAGGAUGUAUCCAACUUCGUAAAAUAUUCAGCGAUGGCGCCAACGGGAACGCGUUAAGACAUGCGCUCUACUAGUUCACGGUCAUUUUAUCUAUUAUAUAUCAUGAGCGUCGUUCUACGUAAUACGUUCAUUUCCGCAUUGUCGCUUGUAUGGUAAAUGUGAUAGCAAAUCACUGAAAAUAUAUCAUAAAAAUAGUCGUGUAUUUGGGUAUUUGUAUGUUUCGGAAAAUACAACGGUUCUAUAUUUUCUGAAUGUUUCUGCAUUCGGAUGCAAUGAAAA